GACGAACGCUGGCGGCGUGCUUAACACAUGCAAGUCGAACGAAGUGGCGAACGGGUGAGUAACGCGUAAUCAACCUGCCCUUCAGAGGGGGACAACAGUUGGAAACGACUGCUAAUACCGCAUACUGAUGGCGGGGAUUGCGUCUGAUUAGCUGGUUGGAGGGGUAACGGCCAACAAAGGCGAUGAUCAGUAGCCGGUCUGGGAGGAUGAACGGCCACAUGGGGACUGAGACACGGCCCAGACGCCUACGGGAGGCAGCAGUGGGGAAUCUUCCGCAAUGGACGAAAGUCUGACGGAGCAACGCCGCGGGAGUGAUGACGGCCUUCGGGUUGGAAAGCUCUGUUAAUCGGGACGCGGUACCGGAAUAGAAAGCCACGGCUAACUACGUGCCAGCCGCCGCGGUAAUUC
Molecule: ribosomal RNA, 408 nt
Filed under: uncultured bacterium
Lineage: Bacteria
Description: partial 16S ribosomal RNA
Rfam family: Bacterial small subunit ribosomal RNA
Source: RNAcentral